GAAUUAUGAGAGUGAUUUAUGAAAGAAAGACAGUGGAGAAUUGCAAUCGAUGGAGACAUUCAAAGAAAAGACUUUGGCACUACAUCAAAAGAGAGUAGAAUAAAUGACGAAACUAAAGCACAAAGAGAUUAAAGAACUUAUCCAAGGUCAUGCAGCUGGAAAGAAGUGGAUUUGGGAUUGUGAACAUCACAAUUUCACAAACUACAUUUCAUGAUGGGUAGAGCUAGUCAAACGUCUGAAAAUAAAGUUUGGUUUAAAGAUGA
This is a long non-coding RNA of Homo sapiens (human), 263 nucleotides long. Lineage: Eukaryota; Metazoa; Chordata; Mammalia; Primates; Hominidae. The record is from Ensembl.